This 87-nucleotide transfer RNA is filed under the name Acidimicrobiaceae bacterium. RNAcentral describes it as "tRNA-Leu". It matches the Rfam family "tRNA". From Rfam's summary of the family: Transfer RNA (tRNA) molecules are approximately 80 nucleotides in length. Lineage: Bacteria; Bacillati; Actinomycetota; Acidimicrobiia; Acidimicrobiales; Acidimicrobiaceae. The record is from RNAcentral.
GCCCGGGUGGCGCAACUGGCAGACGCGGCCCGCUUAAAACGGGCUGCCCCAACGGGCAUGUGGGUUCGAGUCCCACCCCGGGCACCA